GACGAACGCUGGCGGCGUGCCUAAUACAUGCAAGUAGAACGCUGAAGGAGGAGCUUGCUUCUCUGGAUGAGUUGCGAACGGGUGAGUAACGCGUAGGUAACCUGCCUGGUAGUGGGGGAUAACUAUUGGAAACGAUAGCUAAUACCGCAUAAGAGUAGAUGUUGCAUGACAUUUGCUUAAAAGGUGCAAUUGCAUCACUACCAGAUGGACCUGCGUUGUAUUAGCUAGUUGGUGAGGUAACGGCUCACCAAGGCAACGAUACAUAGCCGACCUGAGAGGGUGAUCGGCCACACUGGGACUGAGACACGGCCCAGACUCCUACGGGAGGCAGCAGUAGGGAAUCUUCGGCAAUGGACGGAAGUCUGACCGAGCAACGCCGCGUGAGUGAAGAAGGUUUUCGGAUCGUAAAGCUCUGUUGUAAGAGAAGAACGAGUGUGAGAGUGGAAAGUUCACACUGUGACGGUAUCUUACCAGAAAGGGACGGCUAACUACGUG
RNAcentral lists this ribosomal RNA (495 nucleotides) under uncultured bacterium. RNAcentral's name for it is "partial 16S ribosomal RNA". It matches the Rfam family "Bacterial small subunit ribosomal RNA", at positions 28 to 507 of the family's 1533-position model. The record is from RNAcentral.